AUCCAGAUGACGAGUCCCAAAUAGGGUGAAAUGAGCAUCAUGAAU
This 45-nucleotide non-coding RNA is filed under the name Trichobilharzia regenti. Lineage: Eukaryota; Metazoa; Platyhelminthes; Trematoda; Strigeidida; Schistosomatidae. The record is from RNAcentral.